UAAAAAUAGAACAUAUAAAAGGAUAAAUUCAACCUUAGAUUAAAGUGAUAUCUUCUUAUCAUUUAAAGACUUGAAUUUAUCAAUAAUAAAAUCAGUGAUGAAAUUUCCAACUGUUUCUUUUUCAAUGUUAAGCAUUAUAUUGUUAGUAAGAAAUUCAUUCUUUGUGUUAUUAAGCAAUCUUUUCUUGAUUAUCUUCAUUGAUGAGAUAUUCUCUCUAAAAUAUUGAUCUAAUAUGAUUUGGUCCAAUUUAUGGCGUGCAUGACCUCUGUGCUUUAGAUAAAGUGCAUUACAAUUAAGUGAAUCAAUAUCAUGUUUUCCACUACCCCCUAUUACAUGUUUCAAUAAACCAUUUCAUCCAUCAUUUUCCAACUUAUGAAUUAAUGUGUUUGUUUUGGUGACAAAUAUGUUGAUAUUUCUACGGUAAAGCUUGAGACAGAUGAUCUGUAAAUUCCAUAAACUCCCUCAUCAUGGGUAAAAUUAAUGAGAACUCAAAUAACUUUAUAAACUUAUAUGCAACUGUUGCAGGAAUAAAAUCAUAGGUUAUGUGAAGAAACUACAAAGAAUAACUUCUCCCAUUCUUUUCUAAUAUCUUUAAGAACAACAUAAGUUAGAUUAUGAAAUUCUGUCAUAUUACAAACAAAAUAAAAAUGUGAGCUUCAACAUGUAUAUCUGACUUGUUUCAAAGUGUCAAUCUAAUUUAGUGCUUUACCAAUAACAAGCUUACCAAUAUUUAAUAAAUUUGAAAUACUCUAUAAUAUGGAAAUUUGAAAUUUUGUGAUGCAUCCGAUCAAGAGAAGAAAUAUCUCAAGCCUCAUUAGUCAGAUGUCCAAGUUCUAGCUAAAGUGCUAGUCAAAUGUUGAAUCAAGAAGAAGAAUUUUAAGUUCUAAAAUUAUGAAAGUAAGAAUGUGUGAAAUCUCGUUUUAUCCUACGCUUAGCAUUCUAAUUUGAUCAAUAUAAAUUGUAAAGGGAAAAUGAUUUAGUGUUGUGAUACUAAGGCAAUGCACAUACAUAAAAAAAUACCUUUCAAACCUCUUUUAAUUAUUAAACUUCUCAAAAUCAAUUCAUGCAAGUAUGGAAUUGAUUAAGAAAUGUUUUUAAUCAAUUAGGAAAACAAAAUCAUGGCCUAAUCGAUUAAGACUUUAGCCAAAUUAAUUAAAGGAGAGAGAAAUGUCUUUUAACCCGUUAAAAAGGUCACUAUUCAUAUAAAGUAUGUAUUCAUUUUAGGCUUUUAUUUUUUGGAUUAAGGUUGGCAUUUUUAUGGCAUCUUAAUCGAGCGAGUAAUAUAUGUUUUAAUUGAUUAAAUCCUUAAUUUUGCUCAUUGAUCGUUUACAAAUACUUUUCUAUAGAAAGAAGGUUUUUCUAAUUUCAUUCCACACAAUAUUUUUAAAUAAGAAACCUCUCUACUCUUUUUCUUUCUAAAAUUCCUUUCACUAGUUCAUAGGGUUGAAAGAGCAAAAAAUUCCUUUUUUGUGUUUCUGUUGUAUUGGUGCUAUGCUAAAUUUGUUUUAUUCAAGAGUGUGAUUCUAUUAUGUAGUAUCUUUGUAAAGUAUUUGAAGGUUUCAAGAUAAACCUUAGAGAAAUAUUGGGUGAAGGUCCUUGGGUUGACGGUUCAAGAUAAACCUUAGAGAAAUAUUGUGCAAAAGUUCAAGUUGUAGUUGACGGUUCAUUGGGUUGAUCUUCUAAAAUCUCAAAUAUUUUAGUGGAAAUAUCAAGAAGAAACUCUUAGAGACACGAGUAAGACAAGUAGUUAGGCCAAUUCAGUAUAAAUAUCUAGUGCAAUCUUUUUAACCCUUAUCUCUUUAAUCUAUGUUGUUUACGUUAUUUUUGUUGUGUUUCUCUCAUCUCUCUACUUCUCCGCUACAUUUCUAUAUUUGUUUAACAUAAACAUUUUUUAAAUUAAAGUUUUGAUAAAAAAAUUUGAAUUUCGAAUAUCACAAUUCACCCCAUCCGCUUGUGUUUGGAGUCACCUGGUAAACCCUUUACACAUUAAGAACAAUUCUUAUGUGAAUAGGUUGAUCGAACAAGUCUAAAAAAGUUUUAAAAGCAU
This 2047-nucleotide long non-coding RNA is filed under the name Lathyrus oleraceus (garden pea). RNAcentral describes it as "Pisum sativum (pea) long non-coding RNA (PSAT_LNC007232)". Lineage: Eukaryota; Viridiplantae; Streptophyta; Magnoliopsida; Fabales; Fabaceae. The record is from RNAcentral.